This 87-nucleotide transfer RNA is filed under the name Candidatus Levybacteria bacterium RIFCSPHIGHO2_01_FULL_37_33. RNAcentral's name for it is "tRNA-Tyr". It matches the Rfam family "tRNA". From Rfam's summary of the family: Transfer RNA (tRNA) molecules are approximately 80 nucleotides in length. Their secondary structure includes four short double-helical elements and three loops (D, anti-codon, and T loops). The record is from RNAcentral. RNAcentral also lists the same sequence under 4 other names. Lineage: Bacteria; Candidatus Levyibacteriota.
GCUAAGGUGGCGGAGUAGCAAUCGCAUCUGGCUGUAGACCAGACGUCCGUAAGGACUCCGGGGGUGCAAUUCCCUCCCUUAGCACCC